RNAcentral lists this long non-coding RNA (273 nucleotides) under Carica papaya (papaya). Its description in RNAcentral is "long non-coding RNA (CPAP_LNC015445)". The record is from RNAcentral. Lineage: Eukaryota; Viridiplantae; Streptophyta; Magnoliopsida; Brassicales; Caricaceae.
AUUUGUGGCAGUGCCCAGCAUUAUGCCAGAGAAUGCCCAAGGAACCAGAAUCAAGGGAGGCCUCCUAGCUAGGGCAGAGCUUACAACCUUACCCAGCAAGAUGCCGACGCCGACCCGGAUGUAGUACAGGGUAUGUAUACUAUCUGUGACCAUAUUGCUCAUGUUUUAUUUGACACUGGUGCAUCGCACUCUUUUGUUUCACAUGCUUUUGCUUCCAAAAUUAAUGUAUCACCUGAUAAACUUGAAUCAUUGUUGUUUGUGUCUACUGGCGGG